AGAGUUUGAUCCUGGCUCAGGAUGAACGCUAGCGACAGGCUUAACACAUGCAAGUCGAGGGGCAGCGGGGGCACUGGUUCGCCAGUGCCUGCCGGCGACCGGCGCACGGGUGAGUAACACGUAUGCAACCUGGCCUCUGCAGGGGGAUAACCGGUGGAAACACCGCCUAAUACCCCGCGACGCCACCCCGGGGCAUCCCGGGGCGGCCAAAGGAGCGAUCCGGCGGAGGAUGGGCAUGCGGCGCAUUAGCUGGUCGGCGGGGUGACGGCCCACCGAGGCGACGAUGCGUAGGGGUUCUGAGAGGAAGGCCCCCCACACUGGGACUGAGACACGGCCCAGACUCCUACGGGAGGCAGCAGUGAGGAAUAUUGGUCAAUGGGCGGAAGCCUGAAUCAGCCAAGUCGCGUGAGGGACUAAGGCCCUACGGGUCGUAAACCUCUUUUGCCGGGGAUCAGUGCCCAGCUCGCGAGCUGGGAGGGAGCGUACCCGGAGAAAAAGCAUCGGCUAACUCCGUGCCAGCAGCCGCGGUAAUACGGAGGAUGCGAGCGUUAUCCGGAUUUAUUGGGUUUAAAGGGUGCGUAGGCGGGCCUUCAGGCCGGCGGUAAAAUUGCGGGGCUCAACCCCGCCGAGCCGUCGGAACCGGGGGCCUUGAGUACCGGAGAAGUACGCGGAAUGCGUGGUGUAGCGGUGAAAUGCAUAGAUAUCACGCAGAACCCCGAUUGCGAAGGCAGCGUACCGGCCGGUCACUGACGCUGAGGCACGAAAGCGCGGGUAUCGAACAGGAUUAGAUACCCUGGUAGUCCGCGCAGUAAACGAUGGACGCUAGCUGUCCGGCCCGAACGUGGGCUGGGUGGCACAGCGAAAGCGUUAAGCGUCCCACCUGGGGAGUACGCCGGCAACGGUGAAACUCAAAGGAAUUGACGGGGGCCCGCACAAGCGGAGGAACAUGUGGUUUAAUUCGAUGAUACGCGAGGAACCUUACCCGGGCUCAAACGCCGCAGGAACCGUCCCUGAAAGGGGACGGGCCAGCAAUGGCCUGCGGCGAGGUGCUGCAUGGUUGUCGUCAGCUCGUGCCGUGAGGUGUCGGCUUAAGUGCCAUAACGAGCGCAACCCCCACCGACAGUUGCUAACUGGUCAAGCAGAGGACUCUGUCAGGACUGCCGGCGCAAGCUGCGAGGAAGGCGGGGAUGACGUCAAAUCAGCACGGCCCUUACGUCCGGGGCGACACACGUGUUACAAUGGCGGGUACAGCGGGAAGCCACCUGGCGACAGGGCGCGGAACCCGAAAACCCGUCUCAGUUCGGAUCGGAGUCUGCAACCCGACUCCGUGAAGCUGGAUUCGCUAGUAAUCGCGCAUCAGCCACGGCGCGGUGAAUACGUUCCCGGGCCUUGCACACACGCGCCCGUCA
RNAcentral lists this ribosomal RNA (1409 nucleotides) under uncultured bacterium. Its description in RNAcentral is "16S ribosomal RNA". It matches the Rfam family "Bacterial small subunit ribosomal RNA". The record is from RNAcentral.